This 757-nucleotide ribosomal RNA is filed under the name uncultured Glomus. RNAcentral's name for it is "eukaryotic LSU rRNA". It matches the Rfam family "Eukaryotic large subunit ribosomal RNA", at positions 38 to 648 of the family's 3401-position model. The record is from RNAcentral. Lineage: Eukaryota; Fungi; Glomeromycota; Glomeromycetes; Glomerales; Glomeraceae.
GCAUAUCAAUAAGCGGAGGAAAAGAAAAUAACAAUGAUUCCCUUAGUAACUGCGAGUGAAGGGGGAUAAGCUCAAAUUUUAAAUCUGUUAGGUUCGCCUGACCGAGUUGUAAUUUGAAGAAGCGUUUUCUGGUCGUUUGACUUGGCCUAAAUCUUUUGGGAUAAAGUAUCAUGGAGGGUGAGAAUCCCGUCCGGCCAUGUCGGCUUCUUUACGAUACGCUUUCAAAGAGUCAAGUUGUUUGGGAAUGCAGCUUAAAAUGGGAGGUAAAUUUCUCCUAAGGCUAAAUAUUGGCGAGAGACCGAUAGCGAACAAGUACCGUGAGGGAAAGAUGAAAAGCACUUUGAAAAGAGAGUUAAAUAGUACGUGAAAUUGUUGAAAGGGAAACGAUUGAAGCCAGUCGUACCGACGGGAAAUCAACUUUUUGAGUGCGAUCUUGUUGGUGUUUUGGAGCUUAACCCCUUACAUUUUCAAGUUUGUUCUCUUGGGCGUACUUUCUCGUGUGGUUUGUUAACAUCAAUUUCGGUCAUUAUAAAAUGACUGGAGGAAUGUAGCUUCGAUCUCGAUUGAAGUGUUAUAGCCUCUGGUAGAUGUAAUGAUUGGGAUUGAGGAUUGCAACGAAUACCCUUUUGGGCUAACCGCCUGGUCUCUGAUCGUUGCCUUGGUGCCGAAAGCUUGCUUACGGUUAUUGAGGUUGAUGGUCAAAAGGCUAGAACGGAUUAAAUUCGUUAAGGAUGUUGACGUAAUGGCUUUAAACGAC